GCCCAAGGCCGGGAGAGCAGGAGGGAGAGAGAAUUAAAGCGUUCAAUUAAAGAGCGGCCGAGGCCGGAGGGCUCCCUGCAAUGCCAAAAGAAUCAUUUCGGGAAGCCGGGCAGGAGACACAACCCGAACAAAAAACUCCAGGCGAGUUUCUGACCCAUUCCUCUGGAGGAAAAGCUGGGGAGGAGCUGGGCAGGGAAAAAACCACGGGAGAGCCACGGGAAAAACAUCCAGGCCCGGGAGAAUCAUCCCGGCCCGGGAGAAUCAUCCCGGCCCGGGAGAAUCAUCCCGGCCCAGGAGAAUCAUCCCGGCCCGGGAGAAUCAUCCAGACCCGGGAGAAUCAUCCCGGCCCGGGUCCUUCCUGCCCGGGAGCCGCAAACGCGAGGGGACGGUGGCCUCUGGUGGAUGGGAGCCGCUCUGCAGCGCCUGGAAAGCGCCCCCAGCUCCAGUCACAGCCUUAAAAAUGGUUUAAAUAAACCCCGGUGAACGGUUUAAAAUGAGUGUUCUUCUGAAGAGAAAACAGGGUCUUCGAAUAAUUGUUUGGUUGCAAAAAAAAGGGAAA
This is a long non-coding RNA of Prinia subflava (tawny-flanked prinia), 559 nucleotides long. RefSeq lists it as uncharacterized. NCBI's taxonomy places the organism in Eukaryota, Metazoa, Chordata, Aves, Passeriformes, Cisticolidae. The transcript is spliced from 2 exons. The record is from RefSeq and is a predicted model, not a curated record.